This 501-nucleotide ribosomal RNA is filed under the name uncultured bacterium. RNAcentral's name for it is "bacterial SSU rRNA". It matches the Rfam family "Bacterial small subunit ribosomal RNA", at positions 791 to 1288 of the family's 1533-position model. The record is from RNAcentral.
UAGUCCACGCUGUAAACGAUGAGUGCUGGGGAUUGGGAGUUCUGCUUUCAGUUCCGAAGCUAACGCGUUAAGCACUCCGCCUGGGGACUACGGCCGCAAGGCUAAAACUUAAAGGAAUUGACGGGGGCCCGCACAAGCGGUGGAGCAUGCGGUUUAAUUCGAUGCUACGCGAAGAACCUUUCCAACCCUUGACAUGUUUAGUUUCGAGCUUCAGAGAUGAGGCUCUUCAGUUCGGCUGGGCUUUACACAGGUGUUGCAUGGCUGUCGUCAGCUCGUGUCUUGAGAUGUUGGGUUAAGUCCCGUAACGAGCGCAACCCCCAUCCUUAUUUGCCAUCGGGUAAUGCCGGGAACUAUAAGGAAACUGUCUGCAAUAAGCAGGAGGAAGGUGGGGAUGAGGUCAAGUCAUCAUGGCCCUUAUGGGUUGGGCUACACGCGUGCUACAAUGGUAUCUACAGAGGGCAGCCAAGCAGUGAUGCGGAGCGAAUCUCAAAAAGGNUAUCU